This 98-nucleotide non-coding RNA is filed under the name Enterococcus thailandicus. Its description in RNAcentral is "Guanine sequence". It matches the Rfam family "Purine riboswitch aptamer". From Rfam's summary of the family: Riboswitches are metabolite binding domains within certain messenger RNAs that serve as precision sensors for their corresponding targets. Allosteric rearrangement of mRNA structure is mediated by ligand binding, and this results in modulation of gene expression. Lineage: Bacteria; Bacillati; Bacillota; Bacilli; Lactobacillales; Enterococcaceae. The record is from Rfam by way of RNAcentral.
UGUCAGUUCUACAUACCUACUUAUAUAUCGUCAUAAUAUGGAUGACAGUUUCUAGCCGAUGCCGUAAAGAUUGGACUAUAAGUAAAAGAGUGGACAAC